Podarcis muralis (Common wall lizard) is the source of this 410-nucleotide non-coding RNA. Lineage: Eukaryota; Metazoa; Chordata; Lepidosauria; Squamata; Lacertidae. The record is from RefSeq and is a predicted model, not a curated record.
AAAGACCCGCUUAUCUUCAAUCCUGACCGGUUUAGCAAAGACCAAACAAUACCAUACUUUACCUACUUCCCAUUUUCCCUUGGAGGUCAUACCUGUAUUGGGCAGCUAUUUUCACAGAUGGAGGCUAAAGUGGUGAUGGCCAAAUUUCUCCAGAGGUUUGAAUUCCAGCUGGUCCCGCCUCAGAGCUUUAAAAUUAUGGAGACAGCUUCGCUGAAGCCAUUAGAUGGCUUAGUAUGCAGACUGAGACCACGGCGCCACCUUCGCUAUGAAGGGGAUUAAAUAAUCGGCAGUAGGAUAUUGUCAUCUGCAGCUUGAAUUCCUACUGGAACCCGCUUAAAAGUUCCAUUUCCCGGUGGGUUGGAGGAGGAGAGAGCAAAUUUUGGAGUCGGGGCCAUUUUGCAAUCAUAGUU